This 393-nucleotide ribosomal RNA is filed under the name uncultured bacterium. RNAcentral describes it as "partial 16S ribosomal RNA". It matches the Rfam family "Bacterial small subunit ribosomal RNA", at positions 523 to 918 of the family's 1533-position model. The record is from RNAcentral.
AUACGGAGGAUCCGAGCGUUAUCCGGAUUUAUUGGGUUUAAAGGGAGCGUAGGUGGAUUGUUAAGUCAGUUGUGAAAGUUUGCGGCUCAACCGUAAAAUUGCAGUUGAAACUGGCAGUCUUGAGUACAGUAGAGGUGGGCGGAAUUCGUGGGGUAGCGGUGAAAUGCUUAGAUAUCACGAAGAACUCCGAUUGCGAAGGCAGCUCACUAGACUGUUACUGACACUGAUGCUCGAAAGUGUGGGUAUCAAACAGGAUUAGAUACCCUGGUAGUCCACACAGUAAACGAUGAAUACUCGCUGUUUGCGAUAUACAGCAAGCGGCCAAGCGAAAGCAUUAAGUAUUCCACCUGGGGAGUACGCCGGCAACGGUGAAACUCAAAUGAAUUGACGGGG